RNAcentral lists this ribosomal RNA (440 nucleotides) under uncultured bacterium. Its description in RNAcentral is "partial 16S ribosomal RNA". It matches the Rfam family "Bacterial small subunit ribosomal RNA", at positions 339 to 795 of the family's 1533-position model. The record is from RNAcentral.
CUACGGGCGGCUGCAGUGGGGAAUCUUAGACAAUGGGCGCAAGCCUGAUCUAGCCAUGCCGCGUGAGUGAUGAAGGCCUUAGGGUCGUAAAGCUCUUUCGCUGGGGAAGAUAAUGACGGUACCCAGUAAAGAAACCCCGGCUAACUCCGUGCCAGCAGCCGCGGUAAUACGGAGGGGGUUAGCGUUGUUCGGGAAUUACUGGGCGUAAAGCGCGCGUAGGCGGACUGUUAAGUCGGGGGUGAAAUCCCGGGGCUCGACCCCGGAACGGCCUUCGAUACUGGCAGUCUGGAGUUCGAGAGAGGUGAGUGGAAUUCCGAGUGUAGAGGUGAAAUUCGUAGAUAUUCGGAGGAACACCAGUGGCGAAGGCGGCUCACUGGCUCGAUACUGACGCUGAGGUGCGAAAGUGUGGGGAGCAAACAGGAUUAGAUACCCGUGUAGUC